This 77-nucleotide transfer RNA is filed under the name Candidatus Altarchaeales archaeon. RNAcentral's name for it is "tRNA-Ile". It matches the Rfam family "tRNA". From Rfam's summary of the family: Transfer RNA (tRNA) molecules are approximately 80 nucleotides in length. The record is from RNAcentral. Lineage: Archaea; Nanobdellati; Candidatus Altarchaeota; Candidatus Altarchaeia; Candidatus Altarchaeales.
ACGGCGGAAGCAUAACAGGUAUAUGCACUCGGCUGAUAUCCGAGAGAUAGCGAGUUCAAGUCUCGCCCGCCGUACCA